UUCAUGUAAAAAAUGAUCAUUCGGACGUGUUCUUCAUCAUGAAACGAUUGUACUAGAAAUUGCUAGAUUAACUUAAACUACCCAUUUCCUAACAGCUACGUUUGACAUCAGAAUGAAUUUUUUAAGAACAUUUUGAAAGGUGACCUAGUUGUUAGGGUAAUUUAUUGUGUACUAAUAUCUCCAAAGAUCAUAUCACCAAAGAUCAUGCCAUCGACGUUCAUAUCAUACAUACAAACAAUGCCAAAUAAAACAACUUUAUAUACAAAAUAUUGUACAUACUUUGGCUGUGAAGAUGAUUGGAACUUAUAGCUUUCAACAAUGUUUGGAGGUUGGUCACUUGUUGAAUAACUUUGGAAGUGGUUAGGAUCCAUAUAUUUUUGAUUGUUGCCUUGGAAUAUAUCAGGACUGCUUGUACCCACUGAGGAUGCACUGGUACCAUCACCACCAUUGUGUCCCAGUCGGGUGAUAGGAUUUUCUUCAAAACUUGCUAUGACCUAAAUCAAAAAAUACAAGAACAUAAAUCUCUUUAAUUAAUACCAAACUAUAUUGGUAUUUUGAUUGUGUAUGUAUCAUCCUGUUCUAAGCAAUUGAAGCAAUAUUAAAUUAUAAGAAAUACAUAUAGUAUCUGUUAAAAAUAUCUGUUUAAAUAUUCAAUGCCAACCAGUGCUAAAAACAAGUAAGAAACAAAUAAUUUUAUACAUGUAGAACAAUAAAUUUGUCAAUUAAAUGGGUUAAGAAGGGUUAA
Xenia sp. Carnegie-2017 is the source of this 745-nucleotide long non-coding RNA. RefSeq lists it as uncharacterized. The record is from RefSeq and is a predicted model, not a curated record. The transcript has 2 exons. NCBI's taxonomy places the organism in Eukaryota, Metazoa, Cnidaria, Anthozoa, Malacalcyonacea, Xeniidae.